RNAcentral lists this ribosomal RNA (492 nucleotides) under uncultured bacterium. RNAcentral describes it as "bacterial SSU rRNA". It matches the Rfam family "Bacterial small subunit ribosomal RNA", at positions 33 to 507 of the family's 1533-position model. The record is from RNAcentral.
GACGACGCUGGCGGCGUGGAUUAGGCAUGCAAGUCGGACGGUAGGGCUUUAUCGUAAGAUAGAGUUUGAGAGUGGCGAACGGGUGAGUAACACGUAGGAAUCUACCCUUAAGACGGGACAACCCAGGGAAACUUGGGCUAAUACCGGAUGAGAGUGCGAGAGAUUGCAUUUAAAAGGAUGGCGAAAGUUAUCGCUUAGGGAUGAGCCUGCGGUCUAUUAGUUAGUUGGUGGGGUAAGAGCUCACCAAGGCGAUGAUAGAUAGGCGGCCUUAACGGGUGGUCGCCCACACUGGGAUUGAGAUACGGCCCAGACUCCUACGGGAGGCAGCAGUCGAGAAUAGUCUACAAUGGCCGGAAGGCUGAUAGUGCGACGCCGCGUGAACGAGGGAGCCCUUCGGGGUGUAAAGUUCUUUUCUAUACGAGCAGUGCUAUAUAUAUGGAUAGUAUAUAUAGAGGGAUAGUAGUAUAGGAAUAAGCAACGGCUAACUCCGUG